RNAcentral lists this transfer RNA (75 nucleotides) under Pseudomonadota bacterium. RNAcentral describes it as "tRNA-Cys". It matches the Rfam family "tRNA". From Rfam's summary of the family: Transfer RNA (tRNA) molecules are approximately 80 nucleotides in length. Their secondary structure includes four short double-helical elements and three loops (D, anti-codon, and T loops). Further hydrogen bonds mediate the characteristic L-shaped molecular structure. tRNAs have two regions of fundamental functional importance: the anti-codon, which is responsible for specific mRNA codon recognition, and the 3' end, to which the tRNAs corresponding amino acid is attached (by aminoacyl-tRNA synthetases). tRNAs cope with the degeneracy of the genetic code in two manners: having more than one tRNA (with a specific anti-codon) for a particular amino acid; and 'wobble' base-pairing, i.e. permitting non-standard base-pairing at the 3rd anti-codon position. RNAcentral also lists the same sequence under 4 other names. The record is from RNAcentral. Lineage: Bacteria; Pseudomonadati; Pseudomonadota.
GGCGACGUAGCCAAGGGGUUAAGGCAGGGGACUGCAAAUCCCCGAUCGCGGGUUCGAAUCCCGCCGUCGCCUCCA